This is a long non-coding RNA of Papaver somniferum (opium poppy), 1968 nucleotides long. RefSeq lists it as uncharacterized. The record is from RefSeq and is a predicted model, not a curated record. NCBI's taxonomy places the organism in Eukaryota, Viridiplantae, Streptophyta, Magnoliopsida, Ranunculales, Papaveraceae. The transcript is spliced from 4 exons.
UGGAGUAGAACUAGAAAACUUCAUCACGGGCCGGGAAUAAAAUCAUCCUGCAAACAAGCAUAAACUCCCAAUUAAUUCCUUCAUUUGAUAUCCUUAAGAGCAUUGUUCAUACUGAUACAGACGUCAUAAAAAUAGUCAAACGAUCCACUUGGAUUCUCAAUGUAAAUGUAGCUUAAGUGAAGGUGUCCUUGAAUCUACUAUAACCCAAUCAACAAUCCUAGAGCAUUAACGGCAGAUGCUGAUAAAAUUAAAAUGGUCAUGUAAAAUUUUAAUGGAAUGGGUUUUAUCCUUUACUUACAACCUUUAUUGUAGCUAUACGGGAAUUCACAUCAAUGAGUGAGCCACUUGGUUAACAAAAGUGGAUGUUUACAAGAGAUGGGGUUGGUCUGAAGAUCAUACUCAAACAGCAUUGAGGAGAAUUUCUUGUUCUAUGAUGUAUCUCGAGAAGAAGAUUACGGCACUUAUGGGUUUUCUUGUGAAUGAAAUGGGUUAUGAUUCAUUGAUUAUUGCGGAAAACCCACUGAUUUUGAAUGCUAGCUCGAAGGAGAGGGUUAUUAUCCCUAGGGGCUUUGUUAUCAGAAUUUUAAUCUCAAAGGGUCUGAUUGAAGAAAAAGUUUCUCUGAGGUCAAGUUUGUGAAACCAUGUGAGCAAGAAAUUCCAGAAUCCAGUAUUCCAAAAUCAGUAUGAGAAAGCAUCAAUGAAGGUAUUCCGAGGCAAGUUAAAUAACUGAGAGCUACUUCUUUGAAGAGUUUAUCACGCACAUGUACUGGUGUGGCACGAAUGUUUAAGAAUGCUUCCCAAGCAUACACUGGCGACGUGUUCAAUAAUGAAAUGGAUAAGCUUGACCUGAGCUCUGCUGCUGCAAUGGAGAUAUGGAAACUCGGGUUCUCUUCGUUGGCAAGAGUAGAGGCAAGAAAGCCACUUUUUAGUUUGAUGACAACAAACAUAGCCGAGUCAGUAUGCUAAAACCUGCUAAGAGGUGGUAUCCCGUGUCUCACCUUAUGGAAUUCAUCUGAAGAGUUCUGUGUGAUUGGUCUCGCACGCCUAGAAAAGCUGCAGGCCUGGUCUGGACUAAUGAGUAGCACGCCACUGAAAUAAUUCAACAAAGGACGUGCAUGAGUGGAAUCAGAGCCGAUUGGUCCCACCCGUUGCUGGGUUUGUAUAGAGAUCAAUGAACAAUUUUCUUCAAUGAAUCUGUGUUAACCACCAUGGGUAGUAUCUUCAGCAGCAGCGAAAUUAUCGCCUCAUUAGAGACCGAAAGUUUGAUAGUCUGAGUGAAGUUUUGUUCUACAAGAAAAGAAGACUUGCAUCCUGCCACUUACCACAUUGUGCUUGUUACUUACUCCUUGGCUCAGUGACUGUAUCUUUGAUAGUUUGAGUCAAAGACUUACGAAGAGAUAGCAACCCAGAUAUUGUUUGAGUUAAGUUUUGUAGCACAGCGAAUCUCCUCCGCCACAUGCAAAAUUGGAACUAUCAGUCGGCCAAAAUCAACUGUCCAUUGAUUGGCCUUCGCGGCUGACUAUGUUUCAUUUGUUUUUUGAUUUAACAUGAUGAUUCGCUAACCGAUGUGCUGACUAGAGUGAGGCUACAUCAGCAACAAAUGGCUUUUUCAACGGAAUCUCUAUGGAAAUGAGGUGGAGGAAUUCAAGUAAAGGCAGGAGAACCCAGCUGUGGCAUAUGUUUUUUCCUCUCAAAACAAAGGUACAAGUUUGUUGAGGAAAGUAUUUCUAGCAAGUAGUCUCAGCAGCUAGAUUUUUAUCGGUGAGAAUCCGUCUUUAAGGUAAAGGAGGCUUGUCAUUUGGAAGGCAGCUCAAGAAACGCUAUAGCAUCACUGGAUCAAAGCUAAGCACUACCUGGCAGAACAACACCAACUCCUUCGUAAACUGUAUGGAAAGUUGGAAACUAGUAUCAUCAUAUUCCAGUUCUGUUAAAAAUUAAUUUCAAUCCAGAUGAGCUCAAUACUGAAAC